AAACAAGGUCAAAUGACCUUGGAGAAAAAAUUUCAUAAUUUUUGGAAACAUAAAAGUAUUUUUAAACAAUUAAAAAUAUACAUAAAAACAAUUAAAUUAUGAAAAAUAUUAAUAUUGAUCCAAAAAAUAAUUUUAAUUCAGAAAGUGAAAGAGAAAAAUAUUUGAGAAUUCUUGGUGAAAGUCCCAUAUUUUUUGGAUCAAUAUUAAAAUUAAUAUGAAUUAAUGAAAAU
This 230-nucleotide long non-coding RNA is filed under the name Lathyrus oleraceus (garden pea). RNAcentral describes it as "Pisum sativum (pea) long non-coding RNA (PSAT_LNC000524)". The record is from RNAcentral. Lineage: Eukaryota; Viridiplantae; Streptophyta; Magnoliopsida; Fabales; Fabaceae.